UUACGUGGACGACAGUCCCACAGAGGAGUACAAAAGUUCAUGAUUUGUUCCUGACCCAUGAGCAAACUUGCUGAGCUCCUCUCUGCUACUUGCUCUAAAAAAGCUCCAAACCCAAAGAAGCUGAUCUCACCAAUACUCAACAUUCUCUGUCCUCUGUAAGGUACAGAGUCUACACGAAAGAGGACCCCUGCGGGCAACAGGUUAUAUUUAUCCUACUGUGUGAUUCAUCAUAAAGAAGAUACAAACAGAUUAUUUACUUACAAUUAUAUUGCAGAUUGAACAUUGCAUAGUCAAGGUUCAAAAACCAAAUCACAUUAAAUAAUAUCUGAUGAUCUCCAGAUGUGAAAAUUACCUCCUACACA
Rana temporaria (common frog) is the source of this 362-nucleotide long non-coding RNA. RefSeq lists it as uncharacterized. The transcript is spliced from 2 exons. The record is from RefSeq and is a predicted model, not a curated record. Lineage: Eukaryota; Metazoa; Chordata; Amphibia; Anura; Ranidae.